This is a long non-coding RNA of Peromyscus californicus insignis, 3611 nucleotides long. RefSeq lists it as uncharacterized. The record is from RefSeq and is a predicted model, not a curated record. The transcript has 2 exons. Lineage: Eukaryota; Metazoa; Chordata; Mammalia; Rodentia; Cricetidae.
UGAACAGAACACGGGGGCUGUGAGUUGGAGGCGAGGCCAGAGACGACACCUAGAAGAGGCAGCUGUAACCUCUGUUCUGGGAAGCAUCAUCUCCCCUCUACCCCCUAGGUGUAGCAUGUGUUUCUGGAUUUAGCGUACAGGUGGGGAAGAAAAGACCAGAAGAACCACGAGGCCAUGCCGGGAAUUGGAGCUGUACUUGUAGAUAUAUCGUCCUCUUCUACAGAAGGGGGAAACCAGCUGGGCAAGGGGCAUGCACCUCAGAUUCUUCCAAGCCUCGGCAUGUUCGGAAACACCUGUGAUCCUAGCACUUGGGAAACAGAAACAGAAGGUCUCGAGUUCGAGGCCAGCUUGCACUACCUAGGAGGUCCUGUCUUUAAGAAAAGAGAAGGGCUCUUUUCUUUUUCCCUCCUCCAAAUCAGGCUGGGUCAAUGUAUAGAGCCCUCUCCUCCCUCACACGCUAGCUGUUAGGUUUGAUUUUCUGAAAGGGAAACAGUUUCUAAAAGUCACCCCCCACCAGCGCCGCUAACUAUAGCCAUGAUUGCCUAAAUUUAAAAGGCAAUUUGUUUCUUUGAAAUGAGAGUGAAAUCUACCCAGUCCAUCUGUGCAGUGGGUGGCAGACUCCGCCAGUUGAGCAAUUUGUGCAUGUUCAUAAUGCAGGGAAAACAAAACGGAACUGCAGAGCAGCAGCACAGUGCUCUGGGCCCCGCUCCCCAGGUCUCCAAGCGGCUGGCUUCUCUCCCUCUAGCCCUCUCCCCACACCUGGGUCAUACAGAGGGCAGGGCAGACUAGUAGAGGCCAGAGACUCUCUGGCAAUAUCACCAAUGCCGUCUCCACCACACUGAGUGUCAGGUGUCUCCCUGCUGGUUUUUAUAGAGGAAUGGGCCAGGAGCAGCUCCGGCUUCAUUCACUCAGACAGGAUGGCUGGUGCUCACUCCAUUGAUCAGGUUCUGAGCAUCGGUCCCAUAGUUACAGAAGGAAGGCUGUUACCCAACACCCUAAACAUUUCUGGGUCUGUCAGCCCCAAGCCUGAAGCUCAGAGUGUUAUCAUUAGCUAUAUAUCUACGCUCUGGGCUGUUAAAACCAACCCAAGGUCAAGGAGUGAAGACCCAAAUUAGCAAUACUUUCUUUCAGCCUUUGUAUAGAAGAGAGGAGAAUGUGCAGCCUAGGGUGUUGAUGUGAGUAGAUGCAGGAUCUGACUUCAUGCUAGGGCCUUCGCCCUAUGCCCUGAUGCUCUUAGGCACGUCCUCCAAGCUCUCGGGGGCCAGGACUCCUGGACUGACCUUAACCUAGCCCACACACCACACCAUGGAAGACCCGUUCUCUGCAAACGGAGGAGGAGAGAGGGGUUCGGGCGUGGUGGGGUCCUGAGAGGAGAGGGCCAUGUCUAGCCUCGGGCUGGGUGAAAGAUAGACGCCUUGCUCUCAAGCCUGUACAGCUAGGCAUUCUCAGCACACCGCUGAACCUCGGUAGGCCUUGGUUCCAGGGGCAAGCAUGCCCAACAGUGUGGGCAGCAUGGGGUGGCUGAGGAACAAAGGAAACAAUGCCCAUGAGAAAGGGGAUGGUGCCGUGGAGCCCUCUUACCUUGCGCCCUCUGACUGGAUAGCUCAAUCCCUGAAGCCUGCCUGUGUUAUGGCAUACUCAGUGGGCAGGCUCCUCAUCCGAAAGUGUACUAACAGAACCUACCUGGGGGUGGGGGGAGCAGGCAAGGACCAAGGGCGUGAAGAAAUGCAGCCCAGGCCCAGAGCGUCUUUCCUGGACUCCACUCACUAGGCAAUGGGACUGACUGCAGACUCUCUGAACCACUACGGAGAGCCUAAGGGGUUGUCCCCUGAGCGCUAAGGUGAGCCAGUUACAGCAGUGGGGAAGGGCGAUGACGCACCCUUCCUCUCCUGUCUGGGUAUACUUGGGUGGCUGAAGACCUGGAAGUUUCACCCUCAGAACCCAGGCGACAGGGACUACCUGGCCAAUCCCACUGCAAGGUAGACCAAAGCAAAAACUGUGGCCGGAGUCGGAACACCACUUCUACACCUCUUCCCAGCUAUGGAUGAAUUAAAACUAGAAAACAUCAAGGGACUUGCUAGGGUCCCUAAGGGUGGGUGGCAGAGCCAGAGCCGUAAUGGUGUUUAAUGAGCACUUACUAAGUCCUUUGCCUGGUCUGCCUCAUUUAAUCCUCACAUUCCUUUUCGGAGGCAUCUCCUCAUUCCCGGGAGGCCCAAAGGCUUACUACACCUUGCCCUUGCUCCCCGCGCCAGCCAGCAGGGAAAGGCUGACAAUAGAAGCCAACCCAAGCCGCCCCCACUGCACCACCCAGCCUCCUGCCGCCGGCUCACAGCCCAGCUUCCCCCGUGCUGGGAAUCCAGAAGGGACUCCACGACAGUGCACAGAGCCGUGUCAGAUCUGACCCCGGGACUUGAGCUGCCUCCCGAAGGCCCCCCUUUGCGCCCCUUCCCCUGGGUUUCCUAGAGGAGGCGAGCGGCGCCCGAUCUCCCCCCCCACCCCCGACCCCGCGCGGACGGCCCGCCACCCCGCGCGCGGGUCCCGGCCCCCUUACAGCGCGUGGGCGGCGAUCCAGCAGCAGGCGGCGCAGAUCCACAGGCCGAAGGAGAUGCAGACGCGGCGGCGGGCGAAGCAGCGGUCCAGUUGCUGCAGCCUUCAAACCAAGAUGACGACACUUGGCAGUUCCAACUGUUGUUGAGAAGGGUUCAACAGAGCGAUCUGUGUCCUGGAAAGAACCACAGUAUCCGGAUUUGACCUUCAGAGAUGCAUACAAAGACCAGAGAAGAGCCAGCGUGGUGACGCACACCUGUAAUCCCAGCACUUCAGCUCAGGGCAGGAGGAGCACACAGUUGGGGCCAGCCUGGGCUACAGAGCGAGAUCCCAUCUUCACAAAAAUAAAAAUGACUAUAAAGGAGGAAGCACGGCGAACACAAGAGUCUGAGUGAGAUUAGUAAAAUAAAGAAGGCAAAGGAUAUAGUCUAGUCUCUCUGAAUUCCUGAUCUGCCUGUCCUCUGUCACUGUAAGAAAUGACUCAAAAGUGAUUUGACCACUGUUUCCCCUAGCAUGGGAGCAGGGAUAAUACACAGAGCACCUCUUAGGAGCUGCCCACACAGGCACCGGAUACAGUCAGAAGAGAGGAGCCAUUCAGAACCACACUUUUGACUCACACACACACCCAGAGGCCAGUCACCAGCAACAGAUUAGAUUCUAUUAGCAAAAAGAAAUGCAGGUUUGCAAAUAUUUUCAGUUUAAUGCCCCAGCCCACCCAUGUUCCUCAAUUAAACAAAUGCAAAACACCUGGGUGGCUCUUGCCACACUCAGAAAUCAGGCACUAGUUCUGAUCCAAGAGUACUGGGGAGGGGAGGCCCCGCUCAUCAGAGACACCUGGAGAGAAAUGGCUUUUCACUGAGAACAGCCCCACCUACUUACUGCACUUCCCUGUGAGGGUCGUAAGUCUGGAAUAUCCAGGCUCAUCUACACCACACAGCUUCAACCCCUGCGACAUAAACAUGAUAAAACUCAGGAGAGGUAGAUGCCAUCCUUUUAUUUUCUAGAGUCCCACGGAUGAGAAAAACAAUAAAAGUUAAAUUCCUUGUGUAUCUUCUAAUGUUGAA